Molecule: ribosomal RNA, 137 nt
Filed under: Penicillium sp. A17
Lineage: Eukaryota; Fungi; Ascomycota; Eurotiomycetes; Eurotiales; Aspergillaceae
Description: partial 5.8S ribosomal RNA
Rfam family: 5.8S ribosomal RNA (bases 13-135)
About the family: 5.8S ribosomal RNA (5.8S rRNA) is a component of the large subunit of the eukaryotic ribosome. It is transcribed by RNA polymerase I as part of the 45S precursor that also contains 18S and 28S rRNA. Functionally, it is thought that 5.8S rRNA may be involved in ribosome translocation.
Source: RNAcentral
GCAUCGAUGNGAAAGNACGCAGCGAAAUGCGAUAACUAAUGUGAAUUGCAGAAUUCAGUGAAUCAUCGAGUCUUUGAACGCACAUUGGCGGCCCUCUGGGUAUUUCCGAGAGGGCAUGCCUGGUCCGAAGCGUCAUU